AUACGGAGGAUCCGAGCGUUAUCCGGAUUUAUUGGGUUUAAGGGUGCGUAGGUGGUUUGAUAAGUCAGCGGUGAAAGUUUGCAGCUUAACUGUAAAAAUGCCGUUGAAACUGUCGGACUUGAGUGUAAAUGAGGUAGGCGGAAUGCGUGGUGUAGCGGUGAAAUGCAUAGAUAUCACGCAGAACUCCGAUUGCGAAGGCAGCUUACUAAGCUACAACUGACACUGAAGCACGAAAGCGUGGGGAUCAAACAGGAUUAGAUACCCUGGUAGUCCACGCAGUAAACGAUGAUUACUAGCUGUUUGCGAUACACAGUAAGCGGCACAGCGAAAGCGUUAAGUAAUCCACCUGGGGAGUACGCCGGCAACGGUGAAACUCAAAGGAAUUGACGGGG
Molecule: ribosomal RNA, 392 nt
Filed under: uncultured bacterium
Lineage: Bacteria
Description: partial 16S ribosomal RNA
Rfam family: Bacterial small subunit ribosomal RNA
Source: RNAcentral